Molecule: ribosomal RNA, 492 nt
Filed under: uncultured bacterium
Lineage: Bacteria
Description: partial 16S ribosomal RNA
Rfam family: Bacterial small subunit ribosomal RNA
Source: RNAcentral
AGUGAACGCUGGCGGUAGGCCUAACACAUGCAAGUCGAACGGCAGCACAGUGAGAGCUUGCUCUUACGGGUGGUGAGUGGCGGACGGGUGAGGAAUACAUCGGAAUCUACUUUUUCGUGGGGGAUAACGUAGGGAAACUUACGCUAAUACCGCAUACGACCUACGGGUGAAAGCAGGGGAUCUUCGGACCUUGCGCGAUUGAAUGAGCCGAUGUCGGAUUAGCUAGUUGGCGGGGUAAAGGCCCACCAAGGCGACGAUCCGUAGCUGGUCUGAGAGGAUGAUCAGCCACACUGGAACUGAGACACGGUCCAGACUCCUACGGGAGGCAGCAGUGGGGAAUAUUGGACAAUGGGCGCAAGCCUGAUCCAGCCAUACCGCGUGGGUGAAGAAGGCCUUCGGGUUGUAAAGCCCUUUUGUUGGGAAAGAAAAGCAGCAGGUUAAUACCCCGCUGUUCUGACGGUACCCAAAGAAUAAGCACCGGCUAACUUCGUG